CGUUGGAAUGGUUUUAUGUAACUCAAAAGAAUACAUAUAAAAAAGUUGAAUGCAUUAAUAAUUAUGUUCCAAUGUCUUUUUAAACACUAAAAUUUCGCAAAUAUGCAUUUCAGUCGUUGUUGAACUAAAGUCGGUUGACCAAUAACCAAACUAUGCAAUACAGUUAUUGGUUAAGUUUAUACUGUGAAAAUGUUUGCUUCUUCUGGAGUUCCACCUUGUCUUUGAACUAGCCCCAUCAAUAAGCACCAUACAUAACAAUUAAUAAUUUCUCAGUGUUAGAUUUUGUCAUACGUUGAAGCAUAUUUUCACGUGUUACACAUCAAUAUUGCUAUUUAACACAUUUUUAACAAUUUCCACUGGAAUCUUUAACACUUAAGCCAGUUGGCAUUUAUUUAUUUCGUUUACUUCAAGAACAACCUCAAGACAUUCCAAUGCACUAAAAAACGCGGAUAAUAAUUGUCUACGCUCCCAAAUGAACACUGAGUGGACGGUGGAAUGAAACAAAUUGCCGCAACGAAAUUUCUUCAACACAUUCCAAUUUCAAACAAAACUAAACUAAACAGCUCAGCAGAAAACACGAGUGUACUUCGAAACGCAGAAGACAUAUAAUGUUUUGCAGUUGGCUCUCAAAUGAACUGCGAAACGAAUGAGCGUUAUAUUUGUAAUUUUUUAUUAUAUGAUUUCUCUUUUUUACUUCCUAACUUGCAAUACUCUAAAAGAGCUCAAAAUUCGGGUCAAUGUCCAGCUGGGUUAAAUACUGCUACAAAAACGUGUUUUGAUUUUAACGGAAGUUGUACCGUAGCUUUAAAAUUUACCCACAAAUUAUUCCUCCAAGCCGGAGAAGUUCUUUUGGGAUGGGAUCCACAAACUGCCAGAAAGAUGGGCAAACAUCAUAGCUUCCGAUGGGCAAU
Molecule: long non-coding RNA, 911 nt
Organism: Bactrocera oleae (olive fruit fly)
Lineage: Eukaryota; Metazoa; Arthropoda; Insecta; Diptera; Tephritidae
Source: RefSeq, a predicted model, not a curated record